AUUGAACGCUGGCGGCAGGCCUAACACAUGCAAGUCGAACGGUAACAGGAAGCAGCUUGCUGCUUCGCUGACGAGUGGCGGACGGGUGAGUAAUGUCUGGGAAGCUGCCUGAUGGAGGGGGAUAACUACUGGAAACGGUAGCUAAUACCGCAUAAUGUCGCAAGACCAAAGAGGGGGACCUUCGGGCCUCUUGCCAUCGGAUGUGCCCAGAUGGGAUUAGCUUGUUGGUGGGGUAACGGCUCACCAAGGCGACGAUCCCUAGCUGGUCUGAGAUGAUGACCAGCCACACUGGAACUGAGACACGGUCCAGACUCCUACGGGAGGCAGCAGUGGGGAAUAUUGCACAAUGGGCGCAAGCCUGAUGCAGCCAUGCCGCGUGUAUGAAGAAGGCCUUCGGGUUGUAAAGUACUUUCAGCGGGGAGGAAGGGAGUAAAGUUAAUACCUUUGCUCAUUGACGUUACCCGCAGAAGAAGCACCGGCUAACUCCGUG
Molecule: ribosomal RNA, 490 nt
Filed under: uncultured bacterium
Lineage: Bacteria
Description: partial 16S ribosomal RNA
Rfam family: Bacterial small subunit ribosomal RNA
Source: RNAcentral